Molecule: long non-coding RNA, 1292 nt
Organism: Gasterosteus aculeatus aculeatus (three-spined stickleback)
Lineage: Eukaryota; Metazoa; Chordata; Actinopteri; Perciformes; Gasterosteidae
Source: Ensembl
CACAAGUCCGAGUUGAGAGGGUUUGCCAAGUGUUCCCGCUGCCGUGUGUUUCCGUCCCAGCUCGUUAGAGGAGGGGCAUUAGUCAGGGGCCGCCAGGAUGAAAUGACGCUUCAACCCCGUCGCUGCAAGAAAAGCGAAAACAAGAGGGAUGCAUGUUGCAUGGAGUAGGAAUAACCUGCUUAAAUACACGCGUACGCCUAUUGUCUGACACAUUUAUAAUGUCGUGAGUGGAGAGGUCUUUUAGAACCAUGGAGAGCUCACAUGAAGAUGAGCCAGUGGGGUCUGCUCUCUUUCCUCUUGUAGAGCACUUUAUGAGACAUCCCAUCCGUGUCUGUCACAGUAAUACAGAUGCCGGACCCACUCUGUAUGAUCGUCGGCCAUGAUUUGUUUCUUUCAGGUCUUUUUGCGGUCUGGACUUGCUGUCACAUGACAAUCCAGGAAGCCCUUACCCCAAAAAGCAUCUGCAAGAGGCCCUAACAACCAGGAUGGUUCACACAUGUUUUCAUGUUGACAUAGGGCUUCACAACAUAUAAAUUGAAAUCUAACUCUUUACAUUUAUGUUAAGCGUGAGUAGCAUGAGUACAGCGUGAGUACAUUAGUGUGCAUUUGACUUCCUCAUUCCAACGAAAAAAGUCAGUGUGCGUGUCAAAAUUCACACAGUACCUGUCGUUAAAUAGUUUGAGUAAAUGUAAAUCACUCACCCUGAUUUUGACGGUUCCACUCAAAAACCAGCAGGAGAUAAGAAUUAAGACCCUUAAAUGUAAUGUAAAUGCAUGUGAAGUGAGACAUUGUUCUUCCACGAGGUGGCAGUGAGGCUCUGUUCCUUUUUCCUUUUUUGGACUCGGAAACAAAACUUGGAAAUCUCACUUACCCAUAAUAUAUUCAAAGACACACCAGUAACCCAGUUGGGGCGUGUGUCUGGUUAUUUCCAGCAUAAUAAGUAAUACAAAUGUGGUGGCAUAUGUUUUUCCUUAAAGUGAAUGACGCUUUUUGGCCUAUUGUUAACAUGUCUGGAAUCAAUAAAUAAUUCCUUUAGAAAUUUGUCAUUUCAAGAGUGAAAAACACGAGUUGCAAGCAAUUUCUGCCCGACAGUGAUGCAUGUUGUGCUUCUAGUUAAAUACACAUAAUAACACCUCAUCACAUUAAUGGUAAACUGAUCUUUAUCUAUUUGCAACAAAACUAUCGAUCAUCAAUCGAUAUGAACAUAUACAAACUGGUCUAAAAAGUCUCUCAACACGUCAUUGAUCAUAGUUUGAAAAACUGCUGGGGCAUUGGUGAGGUCAAAAGGCAGA